Molecule: long non-coding RNA, 1849 nt
Organism: Bos taurus (domestic cattle)
Lineage: Eukaryota; Metazoa; Chordata; Mammalia; Artiodactyla; Bovidae
Source: Ensembl
CCACUUCUCAUUUAGCUGGAGAUUCGUUUCGCCACCAGGACAGGCUGAGUCCAAGUGUCUCCAAUGUUUAAGGAUGUUGCUGUAUACAGUAAAAUCAUUUGCUAUUGAGUUAGGAUCACACAUGCCAAGCACCUGCAUCCUGCAGUAGAGGGAAUAUCACACAAAGCAACGCGGGAAGCUUCCGCACCAAACCCACCAUUCAUUGCAAGGCUCAUCAAGAGAGCUUCACGUUUUCCCUUUCCCUGUGCGAGGAAAACUAUUUCAGGUAACCUAACUGCAAGCGAUUUUUAUACACCAGACAGCACUUACACAGCUUAUAUAUUUAACGAGACCAGCAAGAAGCUCAUGGUAUUCUUAAGAGUUAUUUUUGCUCAGAACAGCUCAGAACAAAGCAUGAGAGAGGCACGUCUGGCAUGGAGAUGCUUUCGUGCAGCUCCGUCCAAGAGGCACGCGUUUUACGGGACAAGUUCAAGUGCAGCCCGAGAUGUUCCGGUGACAGAGCACCAGGGUCUCAGACAUAACGUGCUGAACGUUGCUUUGGGCCCUGGGCUGCUCGGGUGGAGCCCUUUGAUUUCAUCUGAAGCAUUCAGAGAAAAAGCCCUGGUGGUAUCGGCUUCCCAUUUCGCAGCGCUCUUUUUCCGAAGCAGCUGAGUGUGCUGGAGAGACAGACUCGCAGCGCAGAAACACAUGGGGCACGCCCUCUGGGAUUUUUCCGUUUCCUCUACAUUAAUGAAGAUUAAAGUGUAAGAAAGGGCAGUCAUCAGUGGAACGGAUAAUUAAUGAUGAUUGAUGAUUUACUUUUAAUUUAAGCCCCACCAUUAAUUCAGAUGAACACAAAUACAAGAUCACUACUCAACACAUGUUAAGCUCGCCUCCUGAUUCACUUGGAUGUGAUGGAUAGCUUUGAAUGAGAGCACCUGAGCGUGCUGUAAAGGGCUUAAUUAAAACCAGCAAAAUCGUCAACGCCUGUUCCUUAGGUGAGAUCGGAUACCAGGCCUGCAUUGAUCUGGAGCAGCGCUGUGCUAAAGUCCUCCUUAGGAAAAAAUCGGGGAUCUUCCUCACCCAGGGAUCUAACCUGCAUCUCCUGCAUCGCAGGUGAAUUCUUUACCACAAGUGUAAUCUGAGAAGCCCUGAAGAAGCCUGAAGAGGCUGCACACACUCAGAGACAGCAGGGGACCAUGAUAAGGACAUGGAGAUGUCUAAAUCCACUGAUUCACUGCAGAGAAAGGGGUAUUGGACAGUGCUCCAGAAGGAGUACCAUGUGUAUUUCAACUGUAAUCGGAGACAUCUAUUUUCAACCUCAACCACAAUCUCAUUUUUUAUGACAGCCAAGACAUGGAAAUAACCUAAGUGUCCUUCAAUGGAUUAAAGAAAAUAUUAUAUAAAUGUCUCCAUACUGGAAUAUUAUUCAGCCAUAAAAAGGAAAUUCUUCCAUUUGCAAAGACAUCAAUGAAACUUGGGUGCAUUACUCUAAAUGAUACAAACCAAACGGAAAAAGACAAAUACCAAAUUCAUUAUAUUCUCACUUAUAUGUGGAAUCUAAAAAACCAAGCUCAUGAAUACAGAUCACUGGUUGCCAGAGUUAGGAGAUAAGAAGGCGGACAAAAUGGAUGAAGGCAGUCAAAAGGCACAAACUUUCAGGUAUAAAACGAAGGUUAAGGGACUGUGAUGUACAGCUGGGUGACUAAAGUUCAUAAUACUGUAUAGAAGAUCUUACAAGUUCUCAUCAUAAGAAAAUAAAACUUUGUCAUUAGGUGUUGGGUGUUAACUAACCUUAUAUGGUCAUCAUUUUUCAAUAUAAAUAUAUCAAAUCAUGAUGUACACCUGAAACUAACACAUUGUAUAUGUU